GAUGAACGCUAGCUACAGGCUUAACACAUGCAAGUCGAGGGGCAGCGGGAUUGAAGCUUGCUUCAAUUGCCGGCGACCGGCGCACGGGUGAGUAACGCGUAUCCAACCUUCCGUACACUCAGGGAUAACCCGGAGAAAUCCGGCCUAAUACCUCAUAGCACAUAUUAUUCGCAUGAGUUUUAUGUUAAAGAGACUCGGUUACAGAUGAACAUGCGUUCCAUUAGCUGGUUGGCGGGGUAACGGCCCACCAAGGCAACGAUGGAUAGGGGUUCUGAGAGGAAGGUCCCCCACAUUGGAACUGAGACACGGUCCAAACUCCUACGGGAGGCAGCAGUGAGGAAUAUUGGUCAAUGGACGAGAGUCUGAACCAGCCAAGUAGCGUGCAGGAUGACGGCCCUAUGGGUUGUAAACUGCUUUAUAAGGGAAUAAAGUGAGUCUCGUGAGGCUUUUGCAUGUACCUUAUGAAUAAGGACCGGCUAAUUCCGUGCCAGCAGCCG
RNAcentral lists this ribosomal RNA (497 nucleotides) under uncultured bacterium. Its description in RNAcentral is "bacterial SSU rRNA". It matches the Rfam family "Bacterial small subunit ribosomal RNA", at positions 28 to 517 of the family's 1533-position model. The record is from RNAcentral.